UGGGGGAUAUUGCACAAUGGGCGAAAGCCUGAUGCAGCAACGCCGCGUGAGGGAAGAAGGUCUUCGGAUUGUAAACCUUUGUCUUUGGGGAAGAAAUUUUGACGGUACCCAAAAAGAAAGCUCCGGCUAACUACGUGCCAGCAGCCGCGGUAAUACGUAGGGAGCAAGCGUUGUCCGGAUUUACUGGGUGUAAAGGGUGCGUAGGCGGCUUUAUGGGUCAAGUGUGAAAUCUAGAGGCUUAACCUCUAAACUGCGCUUGAAACUAUAGGGCUUGAGUGAAGUAGAGGCAAGUGGAAUUCCCGGUGUAGCGGUGGAAUGCGUAGAGAUCGGGAGGAACACCAGUGGCGAAGGCGGCUUGCUGGGCUUUAACUGACGCUGAGGCACGAAAGCAUGGGUAGCAAACA
This is a ribosomal RNA of 404 nucleotides. It matches the Rfam family "Bacterial small subunit ribosomal RNA", at positions 355 to 774 of the family's 1533-position model.